UCAGAACGAUAAGAGCGUACAGAGUAACUCAGUACGCAAUCCGAUUUCGGCAAAACCUCUCUUCCCUUUUUUCUCUUCUCCUUUCCCUCCUCAGUCAGCAGCGCCCAGCCACCUCCGUGUAGUCUAGCAGCGCCACAGUCCACCGCGUCUAAAUCGCCGUCGCUGCCACUUCUGCCGCAUCAGACUCCGUCAGCGUCGAUUAGAAACUGUCGCUGCAUCGCAGUGGCCAUUUAUGAACCGUGAUCUCUUGGAGUUGCAAAUCACUGCGUCUAAAGCGGAUUCAAUUCACAAUCUCAAUUUUCUCAAUGACAAGCAUGGAGGCACGGUCAAAAGCUUAUCCUCAAGUGGUAAAAUUGGAAAAUGCACUAAAAAUAGUAAGAUCUAUCUCCUUCCUAGUCAUGGAAAAACAUGUCAAUGCAUCUUAGUUCCCUUGGUGUUGUCAUACUUGUUGUAGAAUGAUGAUGCAAUAUGUACUCAGUUGUAGCCUUUAUCACUACCGUAGGGGAUUAUUAUGCUUAAGCAUCUGUUUGGAUGCCUGUACAAUCAAGGGGCAGGCAAGUUGCUUUGCCACCCAAAUUAAUGUUGUAGAGCUUUAGAUCUGCCUUCUUGUGAA
Molecule: long non-coding RNA, 613 nt
Organism: Magnolia sinica
Lineage: Eukaryota; Viridiplantae; Streptophyta; Magnoliopsida; Magnoliales; Magnoliaceae
Exons: 2
Source: RefSeq, a predicted model, not a curated record